CAAUAGCGUAUAUUAAAGUUGUUGCGGUUAAAAAGCUCGUAGUUGGAUUUCUGCUGAGAACGACCGGUCCGCCCUCUGGGUGUGUAUCUGGCUCUUUCUUGGCAUCUUCUUGGUGAACGUUGCUGCACUUGACUGUGUGGAGCGCUACCCAGGACUUUUACUUUGAGGAAAUUAGAGUGUUUCAAGCAGGCAUACGCCUUGAAUACAUUAGCAUGGAAUAAUAAGAUAGGACCUCGGUUCUAUUUUGUUGGUUUCUAGAGCUGAGGUAAUGAUUAAUAGGGAUAGUUGGGGGCAUUCGUAUUUAACUGUCAGAGGUGAAAUUCUUGGAUUUGUUAAAGGCGGACUACUGCGAAAGCAUUUGCCAAGGAUGUUUUCAUUGA
Molecule: ribosomal RNA, 380 nt
Filed under: uncultured eukaryote
Lineage: Eukaryota
Description: partial 18S ribosomal RNA
Rfam family: Eukaryotic small subunit ribosomal RNA
Source: RNAcentral